GAUGAACGCUGGGGGUCUGCUUAACACAUGCAAGUCGAACGGAUGUAGCAAAACAUUAGUGGGGGACGGGUGAGUAACGCGUGAGAAACUGCCAACAGGACUGGGACAACAGUGGGAAACCGCUGCUAAACCCGGAUGUACCGAAAGGGAAAAGAUUUAUCGCCUGUUGAUGAGCUCGCGUCUGAUUAGCUAGUUGGUGGGGUAAAAGCCUACCAAGGGAUCGAUCAGUAGCUGGUCUGAGAGGACGAUCAGCCACACUGGGACUGAGACACGGGCCAGACUCCUACGGGAGGGAGCAGUGGGGAAAUUUUCGCAAAGGGGGAAAGCCUGACGGAGCAAGACCGCGUGAGGGAGGAAGGGUCUUGGGUUGUAAACCUCUUUUUUCUGGGAAGAACAAAAAGACGGUACCAGAGGAAACAGCAUCGGGUAACUCCGUGCCAGCAGCCGCGGUAAGACGGAGGAUGCAAGCGUUAUCCGGAAAGAUUGGGGGUAAAGCGUCCGCAGGUGGGAAAUUAAGUCUGCUGUUAAAGCGCAGGGGUUAACUCUGUAAAGGGAGUGGAAACUGAAAAGCUAGAGUGUGGUAGGGGGAGAGGGAAAUUCCAGUGUAGCGGUGAAAAGCGUAGAGAUUGGGAAGAACAUCGGUGGGGAAGGGGCUCUGCUGGACCAUAACUGACACUCACAGGACGAAAGCUAGGGGAGCGAAAGGGAUUAGAUACCCCAGUAGUCCUAGCCGUAAACGAUGGAUACUAGGUGUUGUCUGUAUCGACCCGGACAGUGCCGUAGCUAACGCGUUAAGUAUCCCGCCUGGGGAGUACGCACGCAAGUGUGAAACUCAAAGGAAUUGACGGGGGGCCGCACAAGCGGUGAAGUAUGUGGUUUAAAUUGAUGCAACGCGAAAACCCUUACCAGGACUUGACAUGUCGCGAAACUGAGUGAAAGCUCGGAGUGCCUUUGGGAGCGCGAACACAGGUGGUGCAUGGCUGUCGUCAGCUCGUGUCGUAAGAUGUUGGGUUAAGUCCCGCAAGAGCGCAACCCUCGUUUUUUAGUUGCCAAGCAUUAAGUUGGGGACUCUAAAGAAGACUGCCGGUGACAAACCGGAAGAAAGGUGGGGAUGACGUCAAGUCAAGCAUGCCCCUUACGUCCUUGGGGUACACCACGUACUACAAAGGUAGGGACAGAGGGGAAGCCAACUCGCGAGAGUGAGCUAAACCCGUAAACCCUGCCUCAGUUUAGAUCGCAGGGAUGCAACUCGCCUGCGUGAAGGGGGAAACGCUAGUAAACGCCGGUCAGCAUACGGGGGUGAAACCGUUUCCGGGGCUUGUACACACCGCCCGUCACACCAUGGAAGUUGGGCAUGCCCGAAGUCGUUACUCUAACCGUAAGGAGGAGGAUGCCGAAGGCAGGGGUGAUGACUGGGGUGAAGUCGUAACAAGGUAGCCGUACCGGAAGGUGU
Molecule: ribosomal RNA, 1453 nt
Filed under: Oscillatoria lutea SERB 50
Lineage: Bacteria; Bacillati; Cyanobacteriota; Cyanophyceae; Oscillatoriales; Oscillatoriaceae
Description: bacterial SSU rRNA
Rfam family: Bacterial small subunit ribosomal RNA
Source: RNAcentral